UUGGAGGGCAAGUCUGGUGCCAGCAGCCGCGGUAAUUCCAGCUCCAAUAGCGUAUAUUAAAGUUGUUGCAGUUAAAAAGCUCGUAGUUGAAUUUCGGGGUUAGUAGGUUGGUCAUGCCUCUGGUAUGCACUGGUCUCACUGAUUCCUCCUUCCUGAUGAGCCGUAAUGCCAUUAAUUUGGUGUUGCGGGGAAUUUGGACUGUUACUUUGAAAAAAUUAGAGUGUUUAAAGCAAGCUAACGCUUGAAUACAUUAGCAUGGAAUAAUGAAAUAGGACGUUCGAUCCUAUUUUGUUGGUUUCUAGGAUUGACGUAAUGAUUAAUAGGGAUAGUUGGGGGCAUUAGUAUUCAAUUGUCAGAGGUGAAAUUCUUGGAUUUAUUGAAGACUAACUACUGCGAAAGCAUUUGCCAAGGAUGUUUUCAUUAAUCAAGAACGAAAGUUAGGGGAUCGAGGACGAUCAGAUACCGUCGUAGUCUUAACCAUAAACUAUGCCGACUAGGGAUCGGAUGAUGUUAAUUUUUUAAUGGCUCAUUCGGCGCCUUACGGGAAAC
Molecule: ribosomal RNA, 549 nt
Filed under: uncultured Glomeraceae
Lineage: Eukaryota; Fungi; Glomeromycota; Glomeromycetes; Glomerales; Glomeraceae
Description: SSU rRNA
Rfam family: Eukaryotic small subunit ribosomal RNA
Source: RNAcentral